CGCGGGGUGGAGCAGUCUGGUAGCUCGUCGGGCUCAUAACCCGGAGGUCGCUGGUUCAAAUCCAGCCCCCGCAACCA
RNAcentral lists this transfer RNA (77 nucleotides) under bacterium. RNAcentral's name for it is "tRNA-Met". It matches the Rfam family "tRNA". Rfam says of the family: Transfer RNA (tRNA) molecules are approximately 80 nucleotides in length. RNAcentral also lists the same sequence under 8 other names. The record is from RNAcentral.